This 318-nucleotide ribosomal RNA is filed under the name Triticum aestivum (bread wheat). RNAcentral's name for it is "partial small subunit ribosomal RNA". Lineage: Eukaryota; Viridiplantae; Streptophyta; Magnoliopsida; Poales; Poaceae. The record is from RNAcentral.
AUGCAACUUGUGCAAAUGAAAUGUCAAUUACGAUCACAAUUAGCUGUGAAGUUUUCUUCUUUGAUAAUGGGGAUUCUCAUAAUAAUACAAACGACUACACCAAUAAAUCCAUGGGAUAAUAUUUGUAAAAUAGCUCCAUUGAGUCCAAUGUUGGUUCUCAGCACCUCAUUACUAUUUGUUCAACAGAACAUCAAAGGUUCAGCUAGCAGUAGCACACCAAGUCUAAACAGGCACAUGUUAAAACUGAGAAUAAAACAGAGGCCAUAUUCUACACCACUAGACCAAAUUAUUCUGCGCAGUUGUAUCCUAUUGAUCUGA